GAUGAACGCUGGCGGCGUGCCUAAUACAUGCAAGUCGAGCGAACAGAUAAGGAGCUUGCUCCUUUGACGUUAGCGGCGGACGGGUGAGUAACACGUGGGUAACCUACCUAUAAGACUGGAAUAACUCCGGGAAACCGGGGCUAAUGCCGGAUAACAUUUAGAACCGCAUGGUUCUAAAGUGAAAUAUGGUUUUGCUAUCUCUUAUAGAUGGACCCGCGCCGUAUUAGCUAGUUGGUAAGGUAACGGCUUACCAAGGCAAGGAUACGUAGCCGACCUGCGAGGGUGAUCGGCGACACUGGAACUGAGACACGGUCCAGACUCCUACGGGAGGCAGCAGUAGGGAAUCUUCCGCAAUGGGCGAAAGCCUGACGGAGCAACGCCGCGUGAGUGAUGAAGGUCUUCGGAUCGUAAAACUCUGUUAUUAGGGAAGAACAAAUGUGUAAGUAACUGUGCACGUCUUGACGGUACCUAAUCAGAAAGCCACGGCUAACUACGUG
RNAcentral lists this ribosomal RNA (497 nucleotides) under uncultured bacterium. Its description in RNAcentral is "partial 16S ribosomal RNA". It matches the Rfam family "Bacterial small subunit ribosomal RNA", at positions 28 to 507 of the family's 1533-position model. The record is from RNAcentral.